CUUCUCUGGAAUAAAUAUUUAUUUUAUUGAUGAGGUACGUAGGUGCACCAAAUGGUUCAAAAACGUUAUUCAGGAAGAACAAUAUCAAUUGAAUAAUUCUAUGUUAGUUGAUUUUCUAAAUUCAACUAAUUGUUGGAAAGUGAUGUAUUUUACCCGACAGCAGUCACUCUUUGUAACUUUCAAUAGCAGUGCAGACAAACAC
This 202-nucleotide long non-coding RNA is filed under the name Mytilus galloprovincialis (Mediterranean mussel). The record is from RNAcentral. Lineage: Eukaryota; Metazoa; Mollusca; Bivalvia; Mytilida; Mytilidae.